GGUGUGCUUGCAGGCUUUGAAGAACAAGCUGCCAUGAAUCCUGCAGCUACAAGGAAAUGAACUCUAUUAACUUGAGUGAGCUUAAAACUAGAUCCUUCCCCAGUCAAGCCUCCAGGUGAGAAUUCAAUCCUGGCUGGCACCUGGAUUGCAGCUUACAGAAGACCCAGCUAAGGCCAUGUCUGGACUUUAAAUCCACAGGAACUGCAAGAGAACUGUUUGAUACACGCAACCAGGACUGUAUGAGAGGCUGGAAACGUAUCUAUCAGUACUACUUAUCUGUAGUAAAGACUUUUUUAAGCUCAUUUAUGAUUGCACAACCUAAAUAACCAUACAUGGCUGGGCCUGGGAAAGGCAGAAAGGCAGAUGGAUGGUAUCAGAAGUGGGACCUGCAGUGGGGCAUCUAGCAACCCCCAGGAGCAUUGAGUGACCAGGCUUGGGACCCACCGGGCGCAGGGUGUCCAUUGUUCUCUCGAAGCAACUGAGAAUUGUGGAUAUUCUUCAUUAUUCCAUCAUCAUCUCAAACCUCUUGGGUAUAGUGUUUGACUACUACUGUGACCAUAAAUUCCAAUAAAACCUAGGAAAAAUGAAACCACUACAUUAACUGAAAGGGAAGGAUUUGACAGCUUCUUUUGGGCAUAUCAGAAUCGCCAGCAUCACUACUCUUGCACUGUGCGGCCAUUAUUAAGUGAAAUAAGGAUUACUUGAACACAAGCACUGCAAUGCCGCUACAGUCAAUGUGAUAACCCAGCUGGUGACUAAGUGACCAAGGACGGGGAGUAUCUACAGCGGGGAGACUCUGGAAAAAGGGAGGAUUCACAUCCAGUGCCACUGGGGCAGGGCAGAAUGAGAGUUCAUCAUGCUACAAAGAAUGGCACAGAAUAUACGACUUGUGAGUGGAUUAUCUCUGGAAUUUUCUGUUGACUACAUUUGUACUACAGUUGUAUGUGGGUAACAAACUGUGGAAAGUGAAACUUCGGGUAAGGGGGAGGCUACCGUAGAUAGCCCAGUAUUUCUUAUUUUGUGGAUUUGUUUAUCUUUCUGCUCACAUCCUUUUCCUUCUGCAUUACCAUUUUAGUAAAAAUAGAUAGCAUCCAUUUGGUGUUUAGUAUGUUUUUGGCACAGUCGAACAUUUUACAAACAUUAUAUCAUUUAAUCUGCAUAAAACCUAUACAGUAGGUACAACUAUUAUCCAGUUUUUUAGACAAGGCAAACUGGAUCACAGGGAGUUCAAAACGCCUCUUCCCUUGGUCAAGUUGGGUCAUGUAAUUGUCAAAGUUAAAACAUGCCCCUUAGGAGAUGAUUUAAAAUUCCCUAAUUUUUUAGAAGAAUCUUCAGUUUUCCCAGGAUAGAACAUUUAUUGAUAUGGUAAAUAUGUGGAAAGACCCACCAACCCCACUCCAAUCUUACAUUCUUGCCAUUAAAAAACAAACAUAAAGACUGUUCCCUAUGUUUUUUUCUUUAAAAUGUAUUCUAG
This 1474-nucleotide long non-coding RNA is filed under the name Homo sapiens (human). RNAcentral's name for it is "non-protein coding lnc-NKAIN3-14:14". The record is from RNAcentral. Lineage: Eukaryota; Metazoa; Chordata; Mammalia; Primates; Hominidae.